This 1545-nucleotide ribosomal RNA is filed under the name Teira dugesii (Madeira wall lizard). RNAcentral describes it as "partial large subunit ribosomal RNA". It matches the Rfam family "Bacterial large subunit ribosomal RNA", at positions 436 to 2817 of the family's 2925-position model. The record is from RNAcentral. Lineage: Eukaryota; Metazoa; Chordata; Lepidosauria; Squamata; Lacertidae.
GCCCAAAAUACAAGCCAACAAGAUACACCAAAUCCACUACAACCUUUAAACCAAAACAUUUGCCCCGAUCAGUAAAUGCGAUUGAACCUCACCAUCAGCCUUAUAAGUACCGCAAGGGAACAAUGAAAGAACAAUGAAAAACUUUAAGCACAACACAGUAAAGAUAAACCCCUGUACCUCCUGCAUCAUGGUUUAGCAAAUCAUCCCCAGACAAAGUGAAACUUAAGCCUGCCCCCCCGAAACCAAGCGAGCUAUUUUCAGGCAGCCAUUAAAAAGAGCACACCCGUCCCUGUAGCAAAAGGGUGGGAAGACCUAAAAAUAGAGGCAAAAAGCCAACCGAGCUUGGUAAUAGCUGGUUACUCAACAAAAGAAUUUUAGUUCAACUUUAGGCACUAUAUAAUCAACACUAAAGAUUCUCUCCUUCCUAAACCUAAAGAAAAUCAAUGGGGGUACAGCCCCAUUGAACCGGAAUACAGCCCGAACUGAGAGGAACUUUUUUCCCCCCCCCUUUUUUAGUAGGCUUCAAAGCAGCCACCAAAAACCGCGUUACAGCAUCUUCCCAAACAAUUCCAACAACUUAUUUACCCUCCCGAACCACCCUGAGUCAUCCUAUAUCUUUAUAGAAAUAACAAUGCUAAAAUUAGUAAUAAGAAAUUUUUAUUUCUCUCCGCACCCCUUUAAGCCAGAAUAGAAAAACUACUGACAAUUAACAAAUACUGACCUCAACUUAACUAGCUAUAAUGUCACCUAAAUCUGUUACCCCAACACAGGAGUGCAAGAAAGAAAGACUAAAAACCGUAAAAGGAACUCGGCAACAAUCUAGUCCCAACUGUUUACCAAAAACAUAGCCUUUAGCUUUACAAGUAUUAAAGGUCCCGCCUGCCCAGUGACUCUUUAAACGGCCGCGGUAUCCUAACCGUGCAAAGGUAGCAUAAUCACUUGUCCCCUAAAUAGGGACUGGAAUGAACGGCUAAAUGAGGACUAAACUGUCUCUUACGGACUGGCCAAUAAAAUUAAUCUUCCAGUACAAAAGCUGGAAUAAACCCAUAAGACGAGAAGACCCUGUGGAGCUUCAAAACCAAACCAUAAAACAUGCCUCCUGGUUUUUUAGUUGGGGCGACUUCGGAGCAAAAAAAAACCUCCAAAACAAAAACUUCAUUCAUCAAGAUUAACACACCAAAAAAUCAUAAAAGAUCCAGCAUAUAGCCCAGAACUAUUUGUCUGACCAAUGAACCAAGUUACCCCAGGGAUAACAGCGCCAUCCCCUUCUAGAGUCCCUAUCGACAAGGGGGUUUACGACCUCGAUGUUGGAUCAGGACACCCCAAUGGUGCAGCCGCCAUUAAAGGUUCGUUUGUUCAACGAUUAAAGUCCUACGUGAUCUGAGUUCAGACCGGAGUAAUCCAGGUCGGUUUCUAUCUAUGCGGCACUAUCCUCAGUACGAAAGGACCAAGAUAGUGGGACCAAUACCAAAAGAACGUCCUAAUUAAACUAUUGAUUAUCACUAAAACACUCAUACCACCACCCCAACCCAAAAUCUAGGGCUU